AUUGAACGCUGGCGGCAUGCCUAACACAUGCAAGUCGAGCGGAUGAAGGGAGCUUUCUCCUGGAUUCAGCGGCGGACGGGUGAGUAAUUCCUAGGAAUCUGCCUGGUAUUUGGGGAUAACGUCCGUAAACGGGCGCUAAUACCGCAUACGUCCUGAUGGUGAAAGUGGGGGAUCUUCGGACCUCACGCUAUCAGAUGAGCCUAGGUCGUAUUAGCUAGUUGGUGGGGUAAAGGCCUACCAAGGCGACGAUCCGUAACUGGUCUGAGAGGAUGAUCAGUCACACUGGAACUGAGACACGGUCCAGACUCCUACGGGAGGCAGCAGUGGGGAAUAUUGGACAAUGGGCGAAAGCCUGAUCCAGCCAUGCCGCGUGUGUGAAGAAGGUCUUCGGAUUGUAAAGCACUUUAAGUUGGGAGGAAGGGCAGUAAGUUAAUACCUUGCUGUUUUGACGUUACCAACAGAAUAAGCACCGGCUAACUUCGUG
RNAcentral lists this ribosomal RNA (484 nucleotides) under uncultured bacterium. Its description in RNAcentral is "partial 16S ribosomal RNA". It matches the Rfam family "Bacterial small subunit ribosomal RNA", at positions 30 to 507 of the family's 1533-position model. The record is from RNAcentral.